RNAcentral lists this ribosomal RNA (905 nucleotides) under Donkia pulcherrima. RNAcentral describes it as "eukaryotic LSU rRNA". It matches the Rfam family "Eukaryotic large subunit ribosomal RNA", at positions 72 to 964 of the family's 3401-position model. The record is from RNAcentral. Lineage: Eukaryota; Fungi; Basidiomycota; Agaricomycetes; Polyporales; Phanerochaetaceae.
GGAUUCCCCUAGUAACUGCGAGUGAAGCGGGAAAAGCUCAAAUUUAAAAUCUGGCAGUCUUUGGCUGUCCGAGUUGUAGUCUGGAGAAGCGUUUUCCGCGCUGGACCGUGUACAAGUCUCCUGGAACGGAGCGUCAUAGAGGGUGAGAAUCCCGUCUUUGACACGGACUACCAGUGCUUUGUGAUGCGCUCUCAAAGAGUCGAGUUGUUUGGGAAUGCAGCUCAAAAUGGGUGGUAAACUCCAUCUAAAGCUAAAUAUUGGCGAGAGACCGAUAGCGAACAAGUACCGUGAGGGAAAGAUGAAAAGCACUUUGGAAAGAGAGUUAAACAGUACGUGAAAUUGCUGAAAGGGAAACGCUUGAAGUCAGUCGCGUUUGCUAGAACUCAGCCUGGCUUUUGCUUGGUGCAUUUUCUAGUAGACGGGCCAGCAUCACUUUUGUUUGCGGGAUAAAGGUCAGAGGAAUGUGGCACCUUCGGGUGUGUUAUAGCCUCUGGUUGUAUACCGUGGAUGGGAGUGAGGAACUCAGCACGCCUUAUGGCGGGGCUUCGGCCACCUUCGUGCUUAGGAUGCUGGCGUAAUGGCUUUAAACGACCCGUCUUGAAACACGGACCAAGGAGUCUAACAUGCCUGCGAGUGUUUGGGUGGAAAACCCGAGCGCGUAAUGAAAGUGAAAGUUGGGACCUCUGUCGUGGAGGGCACCGACGCCCGGACCAGACCUUUUGUGACGGAUCCGCGGUAGAGCAUGUAUGUUGGGACCCGAAAGAUGGUGAACUAUGCCUGAAUAGGGUGAAGCCAGAGGAAACUCUGGUGGAGGCUCGUAGCGAUUCUGACGUGCAAAUCGAUCGUCAAAUUUGGGUAUAGGGGCGAAAGACUAAUCGAACCAUCUAGUAGCUGGUUCCUGCCGA